RNAcentral lists this long non-coding RNA (470 nucleotides) under Cyanistes caeruleus (blue tit). RNAcentral's name for it is "lncRNA (ENSCCEG00000003043.1)". Lineage: Eukaryota; Metazoa; Chordata; Aves; Passeriformes; Paridae. The record is from RNAcentral.
CACAGCAUUUGUGCAUUCAUUCAUUUUGGGGUGCUACAAGUAAGGGGCUCUCUCUGCUCCACCUGUGGUGCUGUAGUUCAGGUGCUCCUGGGUUUAUAGAUCGACUUCACAUUGGACUGUCCUGGUUUAAUUGUCUUUAACAAAAAGCAAACAAAAGCAGAAGCUAGUAAUCUAUUUGAUCAACAUUCAGAGCCACUUUUUAAAAGCUGGUGGAAACAAAAUUGCUGGAAACUUGGGAAGUCAAUGGCUACACAGCUACCCCUGGCGUACAUCCCAAACCUGUCAACGAGUGGCAGGGGGUGGCACUGCCUGUCACAUCUCUGCUUUUGGAAAAGAUCAGAACCCUGAUGGUGCAGCCAUACUGCAGUUUCCAUAGCAAAUCUCAGACAAGAUGUUCCCCAGGAGAGUUUUUUGAUAUCACCAUUUUUCAGUGGCAACACCAGGUCUGGUACAUUUGGCAGAAAAAGUAA